GGAUUUCUUUCAUAUACAACGUGUGUUGUCCUAUUUUAGUAUUUCCUCUAACCCUGCAAAGCACAUUAUUACUUUUGUCCCGUCAGACGCCGACAAGCAUAACUAGAUGGUUGUGUAGCUGUGUGGUAUAGGAGUUCGCUUCCCAGUAAG
This is a long non-coding RNA of Octopus sinensis (East Asian common octopus), 150 nucleotides long. RefSeq lists it as uncharacterized. The record is from RefSeq and is a predicted model, not a curated record. Lineage: Eukaryota; Metazoa; Mollusca; Cephalopoda; Octopoda; Octopodidae. The transcript has 3 exons.